ACACACUCUUUUUUGGGGAAAGAGGUUUUGUGCAAUAUGCGAUAGUGACAGCCGUUCUUAACUCCUGGUUAAGUUCAAACUUUGGUAUAUUUGAUGAUUAUGGAAGAAAGCUGAGAUACAGGACUCUUAAAUGAACUUACCAUUUGGUUAUGGUAAAAGGGGUCGAUGUCCUCAAGAGGUGUGCUGGCAAGUUCUGGAGGAAAACUCCCCUGGAGACGAACUGGUAAAGGUAGACCUUGCUCCAGAGUUGCAUCCGGCUGAGGACCUUCAUCUUCGUCCUCGUCCUCAUACCGAAUCUGUGACACAUCAAUCGAUUAAACACACUAUAAUAUUGAAGGUCACCUACAGUCAAAACAUCUGCUGAGAUAACGUCAUCGGUCUCUUUUGUGAAAGGAAUUUACCAGUUUCGUUUUUUCCUUACAGAGAAUGCUUUUUUUUUAUAAAACUAAGCCGUCUAAUCAACUAUCUAGUAUGUGUAAAAGUUACCAAACGUUAAUAGUUGAUUUCUAAGGUUUCGCGACCCCUUUGCUUUAGUGAGGAGUUAUCAUUUACUAAGAAGGCAAUUCUUUGAACAAUGGAUGUUUAGCGAACAAAAUAACAGAAACCAAGGCCUCUGGGACCUUAUUUUCAAAUCAGGUGAACUCUUACAUGGAGACAAAAAUCAGAAGUUCUCUCCGAUUUGAAAGUAAAACCGAGAAAGAUAUCCGAUGUGGGAGUUCACCAGAUUUGGAUACAUUAAUUUACUUUUCAUAUGAGGAAUAAAAAAAGUACUUACUAUCGUCUAUCGAUAAAAAAUAUUUCUUUGGUUACCAAUUAAAAAAUAUUCUUCACCAGACAGGUAUAUAUUCAUAUACCAUGUGAAAACAGUCCUUAUGAUUGACUGAACUUUGCUUUUUAUAUGUAUUGCUUUCUUGUGGUUGUAGAUAUUACAGAAAUUCCUGAUAACUCUGUUGGUUUCAUCCGAAACCGUUCUGUAGUAUAGGCAACCCAAUUUAAAAGCACUACGUUUCUGUUAUGGGAUAGUGGAAGUAUAGUCAAGUAACAUCCAAUUUGAGUAUCAGCUUUUUUAGAGCCAUUUCUUGCCUGCGCCUUGGAGGUAUCAUUUAUCCAUCCCAAAGCGAAGACAAUUUUUGGGAUAUCAUAAUGACUUCUCUCGUCAAGAAAUAACUGAGUCAGUAAAGAAGCCAUUGUCAGGCGGAAGGAGUGCUAUCGCCUCUGCUGAUAUUGAAGAUGACUUCACGACUUGAGGUCAUGUAGAUAGCCUAGUCGUCAAUAUAAGGGACAAGCAUAAUGUGAUGCAAUCAUUCAAAGCUUUGUUGAGUCAAGGAAGAACUCAAAUAUCAGUCACACUUUAAAUAUGAUACGUACAUUGUGCCUCUUGUUGAUCAAAUCUUCACAUUGUCAAAAAGGCAUCAGUUAAGGAAACUUAGAAAUCAACAAAUAAACGUUUCAAACUUGUCUACUUCAUACGACUUCAUUAUUCUUUUUAUUUUUUCAUUAUUUUUUGCAUUGUAUUCUUUGAAAAACUAACGAGAAUGAAAUUCAAUUAACUUUUCAUCAAAAAACUUGCCUGAGUCGAUUUCUUAAAGUCUAUUACAAUUUUGUAACUUGAAAUCACAAAUGAUGAACUCCAGAACUGUGGAAUUUUAAGGUUAGAAUAUUCAGAUGUAUUGCUUAAUUCAUUCCUGCUAUAUGUCGUAUUUAUUUCACUGUGUAUUGCUUUCACGAAAGUUCACCCACUUUCACAACUCUUGAAACGUUUUGAUACCUACAAAAGAUGAUAUUUUCAGAGAAAGUCUCUUUUGGAAUGAAGAGCUCGUCUCGAGCCUUAUCUCUUUUCAAUAGAAUAAGAGAGCAUAAGGAAAAUUCCACAUUUUUGUUUGCGGUCAUUAGGAUUUCACCGAUCGGAUUUCUGUCAAUCGAGUGUUGUUUUUUUUUUUUGUAAUUUGCGACGUAAUUUGCUUUUGAGCGAGGUAGUACCUGAACAUUUUAAAAUUCUGGUUGAUCAUUUUAAGCCAGAUGAAGUGACAACAAAAUCUUUGGACGAUAUCGUGAACGUACUAAACAAAUAUCAUGGUAAGACAAAAUAUAUUUUGUUUGAGAGAGUAGCAUUUGCGCUUCGUUAUCGGAAGGACAGUGAAAUCAUUACACAGUUUAUGAACACUCUUCGUGGACUGGCAGGAAAUUGUUAAUUUUUCGAUAGUUUGAAGGAACGUCUUCGAGAUCAACUAGUUAUUUGUAUCAAUAACAUGGCCUGGCAACAGAAAUUAAUUAGGUUACAUCCAAAUAAUACAGCCCUGGAAGAAAUUGAAGCAACAGCACUCAUUUUGGAACAGGCUUCGCUACAGUCGAGACAUCUUUCGAAUAUAUCAGGACAGUUUGAUGUCAAACAUACAAAUGCAGUAAAUUCAGGCUACAAACGAUCAAUUCGGUUUUCAGAACAUCUUGAACAUAACGACAGAAGUAAUAAAUUCAAACAAGAUGAAUACAAUAACACUCUGAUUUUGAAUAUGGAAAAAAAACGUUUAUCAUGUGGAAAAUCACGUCACAGGGGAAAAGACUCGUCCUGCUAAAAAUAAAAAGUGCUCAGCAUGUGGAGCAUUGAAUCAUUUCUGAAAAGAUUGCAAAACAACGGGACAUGCUCGAAUACAUAAUCAAAAAAAAAAUACAAGACAUGUACAUGACGCAGAAACGAAGAAUUGCAAUGAAAGUGGUGAUAGUUAUACCUCUACUAACACAACAAAUAUACGAAACAUAUAUUCCACAAACAAAA
This is a long non-coding RNA of Leptinotarsa decemlineata (Colorado potato beetle), 2773 nucleotides long. The record is from RefSeq and is a predicted model, not a curated record. NCBI's taxonomy places the organism in Eukaryota, Metazoa, Arthropoda, Insecta, Coleoptera, Chrysomelidae.